This is a long non-coding RNA of Ostrinia nubilalis (European corn borer), 1016 nucleotides long. RefSeq lists it as uncharacterized. The record is from RefSeq and is a predicted model, not a curated record. NCBI's taxonomy places the organism in Eukaryota, Metazoa, Arthropoda, Insecta, Lepidoptera, Crambidae. The transcript has 3 exons.
UAAAAAAAUAUUAAUAGUGUCAAUUUACAAAUUAUUUAAAUUGAAACGUGACACUCAAAAUGUUGAUGAUUUCCAAUUAAUUUUAACACUUUGUAUGAAUUUUGGCUGAUUGGUAAGAUAAGAGUCGAAGAUGAAAGUUGUUAGUAGUUAGCUUUAUGAAUCAAUAUGAUAAUAAUAUCAAUCGCACGUGUGAGGGUUACUUUUUUUUCUAUUUCUGGUAAUUUCUGACAAGACCCUACUGGCAACACUGGAAACAGUUUUUUUUACAAAGUCAAACAAACACAAGUUCACACAACACAUUGGAUUUAUCGUAUUUGUGACUUGUGAUAUUUUAGAUGGAUUCUAAACUACAUAAUAAUAAUCCUAAACAGCAGUUUUUUUUAAUGUGUUUCAAACGAAGGACGAAUUGUACAGACAUUUUAAUUAAAACUGACUUUAAAUUGUCAAUAAAUUCCUUUGUCACACUGACGAGCUACGGCCAUGAGCUACGGUGACUCAAAUAAGCUACUGACACCGGAGGUAGAUUGACAACAAUAAGGCUACAAAUAAUCAUGUCCGUGGAAAAGUUGCGAGAGUUUUAAGAUCCAUAACUACUUUCUGAUGUUUGCUGAUUUUCUUAUGGAUGAAGAUACUAUGAGACGCCUUUUUGUCAUGGUGCACUUCGCAGUGAAAACAGUCAAGCAAGUAAAAUAACAAGAUUAGUCCAUUAAUUAAGAAUGAUUUACGAGUUUUUAUUACAAUUCAUGUUGUUAGUUUUUAUUCUGUAAUUUUAGUUACAUUAUUUUUUUAAAAUGUUUCUGCCGCUUUUGUUAUAUUGUAUUGUAUUAUCAUUUUUUUUUAUAACUUUGUUGAUUCUAUUAGCUAGGAAUAAUAAGUCUUUAGGAAAACAUCGGGGUCGAAAGCUAAGUGUAGACCUGGAGCAACAAAGACAAGUUUUCCAAAAAUAUAAAAGUAGGAUAGGAAAUUUUGUACCUCCCAAUAAUAAAGAAAACCGCGCUUUAUACUCCGAUCUUCAA